This 23-nucleotide small nuclear RNA is filed under the name Arabidopsis thaliana (thale cress). RNAcentral describes it as "snRNA_12051". Lineage: Eukaryota; Viridiplantae; Streptophyta; Magnoliopsida; Brassicales; Brassicaceae. The record is from RNAcentral.
CCCGGGAGCAGAGUCCCCACCGG